Molecule: long non-coding RNA, 3385 nt
Organism: Dermochelys coriacea (leatherback sea turtle)
Lineage: Eukaryota; Metazoa; Chordata; Testudines; Dermochelyidae
Exons: 2
Source: RefSeq, a predicted model, not a curated record
GUAGAUUAGAGAAUGCCACAGUCUUUUAAGGGAAGCCCCAUCACAUGAGUGAUUGGAAACUAGACUGAACAAAGUACUGGAUGAUAUCCUAGAGGGAAUAACUCUUCAUCAACAAGGAUAGGGGAAUGAACAAGAUGAAUUCAUAGGUCCUUCCCAUCUCCGUGAAUCUAUUUAAUGCACUCACUUUUCUCUGUGCUUGAAAAUAGACACAUUUUAAUCAAAAAGGGGCUGAUUAUGGUGAUGUGAAAGCUCUGGGGCCUCAUCUGGCAGAGUUCCCUUGAGAUUCCCAGAAGCAGAAGAAGAGAGCAGGCAUUGUACCUUCUCUCUAUGGAGUGUGGCAUGCAUUUCCCCUGAGCAGGGCUAUUGUUCCCCUCUUCAACCAUUUUGAAGCUAGCACCUAUCUCUGUGCUAAUCGCUAUACGCUCUGUACUCAGUGUAUUUGUGGUCAGCUCCUGCAAAUGCAUGAAAAGAGAGGCACUAUGGGCUAGUGGCUUGAGCACUUAGCUGAGACUCGGGAGCCCUGGUCCCUGCUGUGCCACUGAUCUGGCAAGAAACCUGAGGCAAGUUACUUUUCCCCUAUGAGUCUCACUUUCCCCAUCUGUAAGAUAGGGAUACAGACCUCCUUUGUAAAGCACUUUGAGAUUUAUGAAUUAAGAGCAAGGUAUUAUUCAUAUUACUUGCCUCUUUUCCCCUUGGGCACCUGUGCAGGGCUAGGCACAAUAUAGCCCCAAAUCUUGGAAAAUACACAAUUUACUGAAGGAGAAAAACUGGGGAUUACAUGGAAAUCAGUGAAACUAAGGAAACAACAAGGUAAACUUAAUUGAUAUGAGCAGUAUGGGGGGGAAGGCAUCUUUCUAUCAAUGAGAUCACUAAUCCAUUUAUUAUUAUGAUUUAGCUCUCAGGUAGCACUUUUCACAUAUGGAUCACCAGGUACAUUACCAAGGUGGAUGUGUUCUGAUUUUAGAGAGGGAAAUAGAGACAGAUAGGUUAAGGUCACACCCUGAUCCAACGACCUUGUUCCUAAUGCUGUGUUCUGACCACUAGAUUACAUUGCCUCUCUACAGUUAUAUUCCAGGGGACACAUGAAUGCACCUCCUCCAACACACACACUGCUUCACCGACCUCCACAAACUAUGCAUUGAAGGUCCCUGCAUUUAAGGAAAUUGCAGGAGUCAGCAUAUCUGGAUUGCAAUGGAUGUGCCUCAUCCUAGAAAAGCCACCUUCAUGAUCAUGUGAUAAAAAGGAUGUAAACAUCACAUCGUCAGAUAUGUGCCAAGUGAAACAAACAUGGGAUGGCAAAACAGCAUAUUUGAAGAAGAGGGAUACAAACCUUAUAUUCAAGAUAUUGGAUCCAAACAUAUAUAGGUCAUUAUCCAGUUGUUUUGCUGUGGGAGGAGAUGCAGAACUCCAGUGGUUUAUUGGUAUAAUUCCUUGAAGGUGAAGGAGCCAUAAAGUGAUCUCAAUACUGAGGAGUGAAGCAGCAUCAUGUAAUAUAGUUAAACAAUAAUGCAAACCACAGAAGAAUCCAUGGAAGAGGAGGGAAAUGAAUUCACCUAGAAAAGACUGAAUAUUUAAGUCCAGCACAGAAAGAUGUUUGGAGUUUGUGGGGGAAGGUGGAGAAUCCCCUGGUUUCCUCUGCACUGAUUUCCCAUGCCCUGCAGAGUAUAAAAACCUCCUAAAUAAAACGACUCUAUUAACAGACUACUGUAGGACUAGAGUAAAGAUGCACUCCAAGUUCUGGAUCCAAACCUCGGUUGAGAUAUUCAGAUCUGCUGUUCCAGUUCAGAUCCAUCUUUGGAUUCUGAAAUAUGGCAUUGACUCCUAAAUACCAUAAUACAAGAAAGGGAAUCAGCCAGGCAGGAUUGUUUAAACUGUCAGACAACUCAUAAUUUGACAGUGAUCCCUUUUUAAAGUGGGGGAAGGUACAGGCUUUCAGUGAUUCAGAUUGAUCACCUUCUAAUCUGCAUUUUAGGUUUGAGUUUUUAUUAUUACAGAAGUGAUUCAAAGAAAAAAACCCCUAUCUUAUUUACAUAUAAAACAAUUAAGUCCUGUCUGACUUUUCUGCAUUCAGGAGCCAGCCACAUGUUCUGCUGCAGGGUAUUGUAAGGGACAGGAAAAUCUGGGAAAAUGCUUGCACCAAAUUGUUUUGGUUUUCCUAUAUAUUUGCGGUGUAAUCAAGCUGCAUAUAAAAUCAAAAGAAGAUUGAGUAAGCGGUGAGGCUAUAUAGUACAUAGAAGUGUGGGCCUGAUUCACAGCCCACUGAAGUCAAUGUGCAAUGAUUGCAGUGGGCUUUGAACCAGGCCCCCUAUGCAUGGUAACCAAGAUAGAAUAAAUUGCAGCAAUGGACAUAGUACCGUAGUUUAAAAUGAAGCUAGAGCAACAUUUUUAAGAUUGGUUUUUUUCUUGCUCCAGGCAGAUAAUGGAACUAGCCUCCAGACGUGUAAACUCUCAGCAGCCAGCAUGAUCAUCAUGAGCCAAUUUCUAUUGAAAUUAGAUCAAUACUAUUUUUUUCCCUUCCCCUCACUGGCUCCUAAGUGAUUCAUGAAUCUGAAAACUAGUUCAUGAAUCUGAGAGGAAGGGGGAGAGUAGGAGGUGGAAUAUCUGCAGUCAGCAAACCUUGACUCUGUUUCAUGAAUCCAGGGAUUAGUUACAUAAUAUUCUGCUGCCUGCUAGUUGAAACCAGUAUUUAGGUUGCCGUUUAAAACUUUUACUUAUUCAAUUCCCCCCACUCCCCCUCCAAGAACUGGGUAGAGCCACGUUCUUUUGCACAUACACACACACACACGGCAAAAAUCAGAGCCAUGUUAUAUAGCAACUAUUUGAGUGUAUGUGCAUGUGACACACAUCUUAGCUACACUUUGUGUGUGUGUGUGUGUGUAUAGAGAGAGACAGACAAGAAUCAGUGCUGCAGUAGAUAGCACUCCUGGAUGUGUCAGAAAUCAGAGCUACGUUAUGUAGGAAUUCUCUGAGUGUGUGUGUGCUUGUGACAAGGUGGAGAGCCACGCUGGGUAAUGUGUGUAUAUAGAAAGACAGACAAGAAUCAGCACCACAUUACCUAGCACUCAUAUGUGUACUUGUAUGUGACAAGAAUAGUUUAACCGGUUAUGGGCCCUUUAAAUCUGUACUGGAGCCAAGUCUCUUUCUCUGUGGAGUUUCAUAAGGAAGCACAUGAUGAGAGCAGUUGGAAACCACAUCUCUGUGAGUGCUGAUUACAGCCGACUGAGGAAAAUGAGAUUUUUAUCUUGCAGGAAUUCAAUUAUCAAAAAAAUAAAAUACAGCCUGUCUGCCUUUAUUUGGCUAAACUCACUGCACCACGGGGUUUUUAAUUUAACAAAAAAUGGUGCAAAAAUUAUUUAAAACAUUGUGUUUUUUGUAAAGGAGAGAA